Molecule: ribosomal RNA, 328 nt
Filed under: uncultured eukaryote
Lineage: Eukaryota
Description: partial 18S ribosomal RNA
Rfam family: Eukaryotic small subunit ribosomal RNA
Source: RNAcentral
CCCUUAGAUGUUCUGGGCUGCACGCGCGCUACACUGAUGCGCUCAACGAGUUUAUGACCUUGCCCGGAAGGGUUGGGUAAUCUUUUUAAAACGCAUCGUGAUGGGGAUAGAUUAUUGCAAUUAUUAAUCUUCAACGAGGAAUUCCUAGUAAGCGCGAGUCAUCAGCUCGUGCUGAUUACGUCCCUGCCCUUUGUACACACCGCCCGUCGCUCCUACCGAUUGAGUGGUCCGGUGAGGCUUUGGGAUCUGAGCGGAAAGAGCGUUUCGCUGUUUCUGCUCGGAAAACUCAGUCGAACCUUAUCAUUUAGAGGAAGGAGAAGUCGUAACA